GACGAACGCUGGCGGCGUGCCUAAUACAUGCAAGUCGAACGAACACGCGAGGAGCUUUCGCCUCUUACGUUAUCUGGUGGCAGGCGAGUAACACGCGCGUAACCUACCUACAAUACGGAUAUAACCACGAGCAGCCAGAGGUAACUACUAAUAAUUUCUUUAAGCACAUGGCUCAACUGUCGAAGGCAGGUUUGCCCUCACUUAUAAAUCUAUCCGCGCCGCAUUGGCUAGUUGGUAAGGUAACGGCUUACCAAGUCAACGAUGCGUAGCCGACCGGAGAGGGGGAUCGGCAACACUGGAACUGAGACACGGUCCAGACUCCUACGGGAGGCAGCAGUAGGGAAUCUUCCGAAAUGGGCGAAAGCCUGACGGAGAAACGCCGGGUGAGUGAUGAAGGUCUUCGGAUCGUAAAACUCUGUUAUUAGGGAAGAACAAAUGUGUAAGUAACCAUGCACGUCUUGACGGUACCGAAUGAGAAAGCCACGGCUAACUACGU
Molecule: ribosomal RNA, 496 nt
Filed under: uncultured bacterium
Lineage: Bacteria
Description: partial 16S ribosomal RNA
Rfam family: Bacterial small subunit ribosomal RNA
Source: RNAcentral